This 17-nucleotide transfer RNA is filed under the name Fridericia mollissima. Its description in RNAcentral is "partial tRNA-Leu". The record is from RNAcentral. Lineage: Eukaryota; Viridiplantae; Streptophyta; Magnoliopsida; Lamiales; Bignoniaceae.
AAAUCCAACCUAUCCGC